CGGGGUGAGUAACGCGUGGGUAACCUGCCUCAUACAGGGGGAUAACGAUUGGAAACGAUUGCUAACACCGCAUAAGCGCACAGUACCACAUGGUGCAGUGUGAAAAACUCCGGUGGUAUGAGAUGGACCCGCGUCUGAUUAGCUAGUUGGUGAGGUAACGGCCCACCAAGGCAACGAUCAGUAGCCGACCUGAGAGGGUGACCGGCCACAUUGGGACUGAGACACGGCCCAG
This 232-nucleotide ribosomal RNA is filed under the name uncultured bacterium. Its description in RNAcentral is "partial 16S ribosomal RNA". It matches the Rfam family "Bacterial small subunit ribosomal RNA", at positions 104 to 334 of the family's 1533-position model. The record is from RNAcentral.